RNAcentral lists this ribosomal RNA (229 nucleotides) under uncultured bacterium. RNAcentral's name for it is "partial 16S ribosomal RNA". It matches the Rfam family "Bacterial small subunit ribosomal RNA", at positions 118 to 348 of the family's 1533-position model. The record is from RNAcentral.
UGAGCAAUCUGCCCUUCUCUUCGGAAUAAGCGUUGGAAACGACGUCUAAUGCCGAAUACGACCUCCUUUCGCAUGAUCGGAGGUGGAAAGCUCCGGCGGAGAAGGAUGAGCUCGCGGCCUAUCAGCUAGUUGGUGUGGGUAAUGGCCCACCAAGGCAACGAUGCGUAGCCGACCUGAGAGGGUGAUCGGCCACAUUGGAACUGAGACACGGCCCAGACUCUACGGGAGG